AGAGUUUGAUCAUGGCUCAGAUUGAACGCUGGCGGCAGGCCUAACACAUGCAAGUCGAGCGGAAACGAGUUGUCUGAACCUUCGGGGAACGAUAACGGCGUCGAGCGGCGGACGGGUGAGUAAUGCCUGGGAAAUUGCCCUGAUGUGGGGGAUAACCAUUGGAAACGAUGGCUAAUACCGCAUAAUAGCUUCGGCUCAAAGAGGGGGACCUUCGGGCCUCUCGCGUCAGGAUAUGCCCAGGUGGGAUUAGCUAGUUGGUGAGGUAAUGGCUCACCAAGGCGACGAUCCCUAGCUGGUCUGAGAGGAUGAUCAGCCACACUGGAACUGAGACACGGUCCAGACUCCUACGGGAGGCAGCAGUGGGGAAUAUUGCACAAUGGGCGCAAGCCUGAUGCAGCCAUGCCGCGUGUAUGAAGAAGGCCUUCGGGUUGUAAAGUACUUUCAGCAGUGAGGAAGGUGGAUGUGUUAAUAGCGCAUUCAUUUGACGUUAGCUGCAGAAGAAGCACCGGCUAACUCCGUGCCAGCAGCCGCGGUAAUACGGAGGGUGCGAGCGUUAAUCGGAAUUACUGGGCGUAAAGCGCAUGCAGGUGGUUUGUUAAGUCAGAUGUGAAAGCCCGGGGCUCAACCUCGGAAUUGCAUUUGAAACUGGCAGACUAGAGUACUGUAGAGGGGGGGUAGAAUUUCAGGUGUAGCGGUGAAAUGCGUA
Molecule: ribosomal RNA, 706 nt
Filed under: Vibrio coralliilyticus ATCC BAA-450
Lineage: Bacteria; Pseudomonadati; Pseudomonadota; Gammaproteobacteria; Vibrionales; Vibrionaceae
Description: bacterial SSU rRNA
Rfam family: Bacterial small subunit ribosomal RNA
Source: RNAcentral